GAUGAACGCUGGCGGCGUGCCUAAUACAUGCCAGUCGAACGGGGAGUAGCAAUACUCUUAGUGGCGAACGGGUGAGUAACGCGUUGGUACCUGCCCCGAAGCGGGGGAUAACGGACCGAAAGGUCCGCUAAUACCCCAUGUGCUCGGUAACGAGUAAAGGUGAAAACCACUUUGGGAGGGGCCUGCGUCCCAUCAGCUAGUUGGUAAGGUAACGGCUUACCAAGGCGAUGACGGGUAGGGGACCUGAGAGGGUGGCCCCCCACAAUGGAACUGAAACACGGUCCAUACACCUACGGGUGGCAGCAGUAGGGAAUAUUGGUAAUGGGCGCAAGCCUGAACCAGCAACGCCGCGUGUGCGAUGACGGCCUUCGGGUUGUAAAGCACUUUUGACUGGGACGAGGAAGGACGGUACCGGUCGAAUCAGCCUCGGCGAACUACGU
Molecule: ribosomal RNA, 440 nt
Filed under: uncultured bacterium
Lineage: Bacteria
Description: partial 16S ribosomal RNA
Rfam family: Bacterial small subunit ribosomal RNA
Source: RNAcentral